RNAcentral lists this ribosomal RNA (804 nucleotides) under actinobacterium KV-420. RNAcentral describes it as "bacterial SSU rRNA". It matches the Rfam family "Bacterial small subunit ribosomal RNA", at positions 46 to 862 of the family's 1533-position model. The record is from RNAcentral. Lineage: Bacteria; Bacillati; Actinomycetota; Actinomycetes.
GCUUAACACAUGCAAGUCGAACGAUGAUCCCAGCUUGCUGGGGGAUUAGUGGCGAACGGGUGAGUAACACGUGAGUAACCUGCCCUUGACUCUGGGAUAAGCCUGGGAAACUGGGUCUAAUACCGGAUAUGACUCCUCAUCGCAUGGUGGGGGGUGGAAAGCUUUUGUGGUUUUGGAUGGACUCGCGGCCUAUCAGCUUGUUGGUGGGGUAAUGGCCUACCAAGGCGACGACGGGUAGCCGGCCUGAGAGGGUGACCGGCCACACUGGGACUGAGACACGGCCCAGACUCCUACGGGAGGCAGCAGUGGGGAAUAUUGCACAAUGGGCGCAAGCCUGAUGCAGCGACGCCGCGUGAGGGAUGACGGCCUUCGGGUUGUAAACCUCUUUCAGUAGGGAAGAAGCGUAAGUGACGGUACCUGCAGAAGAAGCGCCGGCUAACUACGUGCCAGCAGCCGCGGUAAUACGUAGGGCGCAAGCGUUAUCCGGAAUUAUUGGGCGUAAAGAGCUCGUAGGCGGUUUGUCGCGUCUGCUGUGAAAGACCGGGGCUCAACUCCGGUUCUGCAGUGGGUACGGGCAGACUAGAGUGCAGUAGGGGAGACUGGAAUUCCCUGGUGUAGCGGUGAAAUGCGCAGAUAUCAGGAGGAACACCGAUGGCGAAGGCAGGUCUCUGGGCUGUAACUGACGCUGAGGAGCGAAAGCAUGGGGAGCGAACAGGAUUAGAUACCCUGGUAGUCCAUGCAAUANACGUUGGGCACUAGGUGUGGGGNACAUUCCACGUUUUCCGCGCCGUAGCUAACGCAUUA